UACGAAGGGUGCUAGCGUUGUUCGGAAUUACUGGGCGUAAAGGGCGUGUAGGCGGCCCGUUUAGUUAGGCGUGAAAUCCCCGGGCUCAACCUGGGAACUGCGCUUAAUACUGGCGGGCUUGAAUCCAGGAGAGGAAUGUGGAAUUCCGAGUGUAGAGGUGAAAUUCGUAGAUAUUCGGAAGAACACCAGUGGCGAAGGCGACAUUCUGGACUGGUAUUGACGCUGAGGCGCGAAAGCGUGGGGAGCAAACAGG
RNAcentral lists this ribosomal RNA (253 nucleotides) under uncultured bacterium. Its description in RNAcentral is "partial 16S ribosomal RNA". It matches the Rfam family "Bacterial small subunit ribosomal RNA", at positions 524 to 776 of the family's 1533-position model. The record is from RNAcentral.